RNAcentral lists this ribosomal RNA (239 nucleotides) under uncultured bacterium. RNAcentral describes it as "partial 16S ribosomal RNA". It matches the Rfam family "Bacterial small subunit ribosomal RNA", at positions 96 to 334 of the family's 1533-position model. The record is from RNAcentral.
CGGCGGACGGGUGGGUAACGCGUGGGUAACCGUGCCUCAUACAGGGGAGUAACAGUUGGAAACGGCUGCUAAUACCGCAUAAGCGCACAGUACCGCAUGGUACGGUGUGAAAAACUCCGGUGGUAUGAGAUGGACCCGCGUCUGAUUAGGUAGUUGGUGGGGUAACGGCCUACCAAGCCGACGAUCAGUAGCCGACCUGAGAGGGUGACCGGCCACAUUGGGACUGAGACACGGCCCAA